GUGCUCGCUUUGGCAGUACAUAUACUAAAAUUGGAACGAUACAAAGAAGAUUAGCAUGGCCCUAGCGCAAAGAUAUUCCUCUUCCUUUGUUCAUAACAAAGCUUCU
This is a small nuclear RNA of Perognathus longimembris pacificus (Pacific pocket mouse), 106 nucleotides long. The record is from RefSeq and is a predicted model, not a curated record. Lineage: Eukaryota; Metazoa; Chordata; Mammalia; Rodentia; Heteromyidae.